RNAcentral lists this ribosomal RNA (380 nucleotides) under uncultured Pseudomonas sp. RNAcentral's name for it is "bacterial SSU rRNA". It matches the Rfam family "Bacterial small subunit ribosomal RNA", at positions 1002 to 1382 of the family's 1533-position model. Lineage: Bacteria; Pseudomonadati; Pseudomonadota; Gammaproteobacteria; Pseudomonadales; Pseudomonadaceae. The record is from RNAcentral.
AGAGAUGGAUUGGUGCCUUCGGGAACUCUGACACAGGUGCUGCAUGGCCGUCGUCAGCUCGUGUCGUGAGAUGUUGGGUUAAGUCCGUAACGAGCGCAACCCUUGUCCUUAGUUACCAGCACGUUAUGGUGGGCACUCUAAGGAGACUGCCGGUGACAAACCGGAGGAAGGUGGGGAUGACGUCAAGUCAUCAUGGCCCUUACGGCCUGGGCUACACACGUGCUACAAUGGUCGGUACAAAGGGUUGCCAAGCCGCGAGGUGGAGCUAAUCCCAUAAAACCGAUCGUAGUCCGGAUCGCAGUCUGCAACUCGACUGCGUGGAGUCGGAAUCGCUAGUAAUCGUGAAUCAGAAUGUCACGGUGAAUACGUUCCCGGGCCUU